UAGAGUUUGAUCAUGGCUCAGGACGAACGCUGGCGGCGUGCUUAACACAUGCAAGUCAAGGAGAAAGGUUCCUUCGGGAAACGAGUAAACUGGCGAACGGGUGAGUAACACGUAGGUAACCUGCCCUAGAGACUGGGAUAACUCCGCGAAAGCGGUGCUAAUACUGGAUAAUGCAGCGGGUCCUUCGGGACAUUGUUGUUAAAGCUGGCUUCGGCUAGCACUUUAGGAUGGGCCUGCGUCCGAUUAGUUAGUUGGUGAGGUAAUGGCUCACCAAGGCGAUAAUCGGUAGCUGGUCUGAGAGGAUGAUCAGCCACACUGGGAUUGAGAUACGGCCCAGACUCCUACGGGAGGCAGCAGUGGGGAACUUUGCGCAAUGGGCGAAAGCCUGACGCAGCAACGCCGCGUGACCGAUGAAGCUUCUAGGAGUGUAAAGGUCUGUCGUGAGGGAAGAAAAAUCCGGAUGUAAAUAAUGUUCGGACGUGACGGUACCUCACAAGAAAGCACCGGCUAACUUAGUGCCAGCAGCCGCGGUAAUACUAGGGGUGCUAGCGUUGUCCGGAAUCACUGGGCGUAAAGGGUCCGUAGGCGUUUUGCUAAGUUGAUUGUUAAAUCCAUCGGCUCAACCGAUGAUCUGCAAUCAAAACUGGCAGAAUAGAGUUCGAGAGAGGAAAGUGGAAUUCCUGGUGUAGCGGUGACAUGCGUAGAUAUCAGGAGGAACACCAAUGGCGAAGGCAGCUUUCUGGCUCGAUACUGACGCUGAGGGACGAAAGCGUGGGGAGCGAACAGGAUUAGAUACCCUGGUAGUCCACGCCGUAAACGAUGAGUACUUGAUGAUGGA
This 838-nucleotide ribosomal RNA is filed under the name uncultured Deferribacteres bacterium. RNAcentral describes it as "bacterial SSU rRNA". It matches the Rfam family "Bacterial small subunit ribosomal RNA", at positions 1 to 827 of the family's 1533-position model. Lineage: Bacteria; Pseudomonadati; Deferribacterota; Deferribacteres. The record is from RNAcentral.